CAACCCUAACAGAAGAAAAAAAAUCGAUAUAGUAACAAAAAUACGGAGCUAGGCUUCUAUAUUUUCGAAAGUAAGAAGCAUCCAUACUUAUAAAUUAUUUUCGACAAUUAAAUAUCUAAUUAAGUAAUCGAUUUCGUUAGAUAUGAUCUACGCUAAUAGAACUAUCUAAAAACCAAAUUUUCAUAAUUUUUUAACUUUAUUUACCUAGUGAACAAACAAUCUCAAAAUAAACGAUUGAAAAUAAAAAUCUCAUAAAAAUAAUAAUAAAAAAUUUAAAUUUCAAAUCAAAAAAAUUGAUCUUGCUAUUAAUGUUAAAUAAAAUUUUCUAUUAAAAUUUCAUAUAAUUUAAAUUAUUCUACACUGUUGAACUUAAAAAUAUGCCACAUCGGCCGUUAAAAUAACUAUUUUUGCAACCUUUUAAUCACUUAAUAAAUAAUAUUAAAAAAUUAUAAAAUUAGAUUCCUAGAUAGUUUCAAUAACGUAAAUUAUAUCUAACGGAGCCAAUCAUCAAAUCGAAUGUCCUAUCAUCAAAAAUAAUUUAUAAGUACGAAAGACUCCGUACUAAGUACAAAAGCACAAGAUACGUACUCCAGAGAUACGUUAUUAGUUUUUUUUUAACAUAUGUCAAUAUGCAUUGAAACAAAGCACAUUCCAAAAUAACAUUCCAACUAAUCCUAAUCCUACCAUCCUCGUUCCGCAUUCUUAAGAAACCAGCAAACUAUAUUUUCGUAUCCAUAUUUCCGUAUCCGUACCUCGCACCACAGCAAUACAUACUCAUAAUAUAUACUCAUAUUAUACAGAAUUGAUUUGCUAAUCAUCAUGGUAUCAAAGAUUGAAACUAACAUAAUCCAUUGCGAACGACUAAUUUUUGACAAAGGAUUAGUGCAAGGAACUCGGUUUCUAAUGCUCUGUCUUCACUUUGGCAUCUCCGUUCGGUAAAACGUUCUGCGACUGAGUCUGCCUCUUCGACUCCUGCACAAUACAGCGGUUUAUAUUAGAUUGACAGCUUGAUGAUUGUAGAGCGCGACAAAAAAGCAAAGAUAAGUAGCAUUCCAUUCAUGUCAAAAGAAUAUCUCGCACCAUAUCAUGUGACUAGGAGUGCAACUAGGGGAGGUUGGUUAGUGGGGUACAGAAUAAUACUGAACAUUUGGGCCUGUUUGUUUCGCCGAAGGUCAAGUUCGGACAGAGG
This 1189-nucleotide long non-coding RNA is filed under the name Ananas comosus (pineapple). Its description in RNAcentral is "long non-coding RNA (ACOM_LNC022531)". The record is from RNAcentral. Lineage: Eukaryota; Viridiplantae; Streptophyta; Magnoliopsida; Poales; Bromeliaceae.